This 72-nucleotide transfer RNA is filed under the name Phrynosoma platyrhinos (Desert horned lizard). RNAcentral's name for it is "tRNA-OTHER". The record is from RNAcentral. Lineage: Eukaryota; Metazoa; Chordata; Lepidosauria; Squamata; Phrynosomatidae.
GCUAGCAUGGCGUAGUGGUUUAAGUGUUGGACUGCAACUUUGGAGACCAGGGUUCGAUUCCCAGCUUGGGUA